Molecule: ribosomal RNA, 459 nt
Filed under: uncultured bacterium
Lineage: Bacteria
Description: partial 16S ribosomal RNA
Rfam family: Bacterial small subunit ribosomal RNA
Source: RNAcentral
CCUACGGGUGGCAGCAGUGAGGAAUAUUGGUCAAUGGUCGGGAGACUGAACCAGCCAAGCCGCGUGAGGGAGGAAGGUACAGAGUAUCGUAAACCUCUUUUGUCAGGGAACAAAGACUGGGACGCGUCCCCGGAUGAGUGUACCUGAAGAAAAAGCAUCGGCUAACUCCGUGCCAGCAGCCGCGGUAAUACGGAGGAUGCGAGCGUUAUCCGGAUUUAUUGGGUUUAAAGGGUGCGCAGGCGGUCUGUUAAGUCAGCGGGCAAAGCCCGGGGCUCAACCCCGGCCCGCCGUUGAAACUGGCAGUCUCGAGUUGGAGAGAAGUAUGCGGAAUGCGCGGUGUAGCGGUGAAAUGCAUAGAUAUCGCGCAGAACUCCGAUUGCGAAGGCAGCAUGCCGGCUCCACACUGACGCUGAGGCACGAAAGCGUGGGUAUCGAACAGGAUUAGAUACCCUGGUAGUC